UCUGGGCGCCGCCGCCCAUCCACCCGUUCAUCCACGUCGGUUGCUUCGCCUCCGCCGCCCCUCAGCCACUCAGCCUCCCGGUCGCUGCAACCGCUCGUCUUCCCCGUCGAUAUGCAGACAAGCCUCCCCUAUCGCGGCAACUGCUCGGCCACAAGCUCGGCACAUGAAAGCACCUCUUCACACUUCACAUUCCACAAAAUGAACCGCGCCUGCCAAGCUGCCCAAAUCGGCACAGGACCGAGAACAGAGCACGGCCGUCGCUCUUGCCUUUGACACACACAUUGCCUUUCAAAAUCUGUAUAUGAACAUACAUUGUCUUUCGUAAUAAAUUCAGCAAAAGAGGCUACAUGACAUGAGAAUUUGGUAAAUUCCGAUUUGAAACAACAAAAAAUCACCUUCAGUCAGUAACAAAUAUCAGUUGCAUAUCAGUUGUUCAGUUCGGGUUGCAUAACAUAGCAACGCACAAACAGCAGCCUACUGGUACGAGGAUCUGGUGAGCCCUCCUCUCUCCUCCUUGUCGUGCCAUGGUUGAGCUCCUGAAAAAUGAAUGUGUAACUUUUACUCAUUGGAUGUGCUUGUAGUAGCAUACUGAGAACUCUUUGUCACACAAUUUAAUGAGUAGUACAACUCAAUCUGGCAAACAGGAAGUAUAUCCAUGAGCAGUGCUGUUAAUCUAAAUAUGAUUAAUUAAUUAGCCCUUGCUCUAUUGAUUGAUGAAUUCUAUUUUGGUAGAGCAGUUUAGGUGCUGCAUAACGAGUAUCUGAAACUUAAAGAUAGAAGUAUUGUGCAUGCAUAUUUCUAGUUACUUGUGGCCUUUUUUAAACUUGACAGAUGGAUUCCUAUGUCAGUUACUUGUGGCUUUUCGACUAAGGCUUUUACAUAGUUUUCAGGAGCAAUUAUCCUCUAUGAGGACUGAUAAUGGUUGGUCUCAUCCCUUGCCGAUGUGUGCCACGCUAAGACAAAUCUGUUAUGCGAGGUUUAGAUGGAUGAUUCUUUUACCAAGUGUAGAUGGAUGUAUUUUAAAUCAUAUUUUCAUCUGUUAUUGCCAUAUAUGCUGUCCUAUUAUUCGAUCUUGUGGACUAGAUCUUGCUGCCCUAUGAUAAACUGUUGAUAAUUGGGCAGAAUUUUGAUUGUCCUAACCAUUCUUAUUCAUUCCUCUUUUUGCUAUGAUUUGGUCUUCUAUUAUUGAUUUGAUUGCAGAUGUCUAGGAGAUCACACCAGCGAGGGGUUUCCCAAGUGACUGGCUUGUAUAUGUGCCUGCAAUAUAUAUUGUCGACGUGUGUAGUUUUUGAGCUGGCUUCCAAAUUUGUGAUGCUAUUUAACUUGGCAUCUAUAUGCUGGUAGUGAUGCAAUGUACAAUCUGUGUGAUGUUAAACUUUGGGAUGCAAGUGCCGAGUGAACUAAGAACAGUUUUUGCUGUAAAGAAGUCUUAAAAAUGAGGGACGGGAGGCUAACACAUUUGCAUUUGUUGGUGGGAGUAUGGAUAUAUGGAUGAAUCUGCUAUAGAUUAUCUAGCAUAUUUGAUUAUUGGGUACUGAAA
Long non-coding RNA from Panicum virgatum (switchgrass), 1540 nucleotides. RefSeq lists it as uncharacterized. The record is from RefSeq and is a predicted model, not a curated record. The transcript is spliced from 2 exons. NCBI's taxonomy places the organism in Eukaryota, Viridiplantae, Streptophyta, Magnoliopsida, Poales, Poaceae.